CCUACGGGUGGCAGCAGUGAGGAAUAUUGCACAAUGGACGCAAGUCUGAUGCAGCAACGCCGCGUGGAGGAUGAAGGUCUUUGGAUUGUAAACUCCUUUUCUCAGGGAAGAGAAUGGACGGUACCUGAGGAAUAAGUCACGGCUAACUACGUGCCAGCAGCCGCGGUAAUCCGUAGGUGGCAAGCGCUAUCCGGAAUUACUGGGCGUAAAGCGCACGCAGGCGGUCUCUUAAGUUUGACGUGAAAGCUCUCGGCUUAACUGGGAGAGGGCGUUGAAUACUGGGAGACUUGAGGCAAUGAGAGGGGUGGAGAAUUCCCGGUGUAGUGGUGGAAUGCGUAGAUAUCGGGGGGAAUACCAGUGGCGAAAGCGGCACCCUAGCGUUGUACUGACGCUCAUGUGCGAAAGCGUGGGGAGCGAACGGGAUUAGAUACCCUAGUAGUC
This 441-nucleotide ribosomal RNA is filed under the name uncultured bacterium. Its description in RNAcentral is "partial 16S ribosomal RNA". It matches the Rfam family "Bacterial small subunit ribosomal RNA", at positions 338 to 795 of the family's 1533-position model. The record is from RNAcentral.